Molecule: ribosomal RNA, 253 nt
Filed under: uncultured bacterium
Lineage: Bacteria
Description: partial 16S ribosomal RNA
Rfam family: Bacterial small subunit ribosomal RNA
Source: RNAcentral
UACGUAGGGACCGAGCGUUGUCCGGAUUCAUUGGGCGUAAAGAGCUCGUAGGCAGCUGUUCAAGUCGAACGUGAAAACUCGGAGCUCAACUCCGAGCCUGCGUUCGAUACUGGACGGCUAGAGUCUGGUAGGGGGAUCUGGAAUUCCUGGUGUAGCGGUGGAAUGCGCAGAUAUCAGGAGGAACACCGGUGGCGAAAGCGGCGUGCUGGACCUUUACUGACGCUGAUGCGCGAAAGCCAGGGGAGCGAACGGG